RNAcentral lists this ribosomal RNA (348 nucleotides) under uncultured bacterium. RNAcentral's name for it is "partial 16S ribosomal RNA". It matches the Rfam family "Bacterial small subunit ribosomal RNA", at positions 338 to 684 of the family's 1533-position model. The record is from RNAcentral.
CCUACGGGAGGCUGCAGUGAGGAAUAUUGGUCAAUGGCCGAGAGGCUGAACCAGCCAAGUCGCGUGAGGGAAGAAUGUCCUAUGGAUUGUAAACCUCUUUUGUCAGGGAGCAAAGUCACCCACGUGUGGGUGUUGGAGAGUACCUGAAGAAAAAGCAUCGGCUAACUCCGUGCCAGCAGCCGCGGUAAUACGGAGGAUGCGAGCGUUAUCCGGAUUUAGUGGGGGGAAAGGGUGCGUAGGCGGGUUAUCAAGUCAGCGGUAAAAUCGUGGGGCUCAACUCCAUCCAGCCGUUGAAACUGAUGAUCUUCAGGGGGCGAGAAGUAUGUGGAAUGCGUGGUGUAGCGGUGA